This 440-nucleotide ribosomal RNA is filed under the name uncultured bacterium. RNAcentral describes it as "partial 16S ribosomal RNA". It matches the Rfam family "Bacterial small subunit ribosomal RNA", at positions 338 to 795 of the family's 1533-position model. The record is from RNAcentral.
CCUACGGGGAGCAGCAGUGGGGAAUAUUGCACAAUGGGGGAAACCCUGAUGCAGCAACGCCGCGUGAGUGAAGAAGUAUUUCGGUAUGUAAAGCUCUAUCAGCAGGGAAGAAGAUGACGGUACCUGACUAAGAAGCCCCGGCUAACUACGUGCCAGCAGCCGCGGUACUACGUAGGGGGCAAGCGUUAUCCGGAUUUACUGGGUGUAAAGGGAGCGUAGACGGCGAUGCAAGUCUGAAGUGAAAGGCGGGGGCCCAACCCCCGGACUGCUUUGGAAACUGUAUGGCUGGAGUGCAGGAGAGGUAAGUGGAAUUCCUAGUGUAGCGGUGAAAUGCGUAGAUAUUAGGAGGAACACCAGUGGCGAAGGCGGCUUACUGGACUGUAACUGACGUUGAGGCUCGAAAGCGUGGGGAGCAAACAGGAUUAGAUACCCGUGUAGUC